ACUGGCAUCGGCGAUGGCGCUCGCCGGAAAGCUCUGCUUUCGAACCGCCACACGGCUGAUGGCACCUGCGAACGC
This 75-nucleotide non-coding RNA is filed under the name Mycobacterium heidelbergense. Its description in RNAcentral is "Fluoride sequence". It matches the Rfam family "Fluoride riboswitch aptamer (crcB RNA motif)". The record is from Rfam by way of RNAcentral. Lineage: Bacteria; Bacillati; Actinomycetota; Actinomycetes; Mycobacteriales; Mycobacteriaceae.